AGUGAACGCUGGCGGUAGGCCUAACACAUGCAAGUCGAACGGCAGCACAGGAGAGCUUGCUCUCUGGGUGGCGAGUGGCGGACGGGUGAGGAAUACAUCGGAAUCUACUCUGUCGUGGGGGAUAACGUAGGGAAACUUACGCUAAUACCGCAUACGACCUACGGGUGAAAGCAGGGGACCUUCGGGCCUUGCGCGAUUGAAUGAGCCGAUGUCGGAUUAGCUAGUUGGCGGGGUAAAGGCCCACCAAGGCGACGAUCCGUAGCUGGUCUGAGAGGAUGAUCAGCAACGCUGGAACUGAGACACGGUCCAGACUCCUACGGGAGGCAGCAGUGGGGAAUAUUGGACUAUGGGCGCAAGCCUGAUCCAGCCAUACCGCGAGGGUGAAGAAGGCCUUCGGGUUGUAAAGCCCUUUUGUUGGGAAAGAAAUCCAGCUGGCUAAUACCCGGUUGGGAUGACGGUACCCAAAGAAUAAGCACCGGCUAACUUCGUGCCAGCCGCCGCCGUAA
This 506-nucleotide ribosomal RNA is filed under the name uncultured bacterium. Its description in RNAcentral is "partial 16S ribosomal RNA". It matches the Rfam family "Bacterial small subunit ribosomal RNA", at positions 29 to 523 of the family's 1533-position model. The record is from RNAcentral.